RNAcentral lists this ribosomal RNA (433 nucleotides) under uncultured bacterium. RNAcentral's name for it is "partial 16S ribosomal RNA". It matches the Rfam family "Bacterial small subunit ribosomal RNA", at positions 29 to 507 of the family's 1533-position model. The record is from RNAcentral.
AACGAACGCUGGCGGCAUGCCUAACACAUGCAAGUCGAACGAGACCUUCGGGUCUAGUGGCGCUCGGGUGCGUACCACGUGGGAACCUACACUUAGGUUCGGUAUAACUCCCUGAAAGGGGUGCUAAUACCGGUUAAUGUAUUCGGACCAAAGAUUUAUCGCCUUUGGAUGGGCGCGCGUUGGAUUCGCUGGUUGGUAGGGUACAAGCCUACCAAGGGGACGUUGCAUAGCUGGUCUGUUACGAGGAUCAGCCGCACUAGGAAUGCGACACGGCCCAGAAUGCUACGGGAGGGAGGAGUAUAGAGUAUUAGGGACGGAGGGAUAGCGUAGUACAGCAGUGCCGGGUGAGUGAUGAAGGGCGUAGUGUUGUAAAGCUGUUUGAGCCGGGAUGUGAAUGACGGUACCGGGAGAAUAAGCUCCGGCUAACUCCGUG